This 254-nucleotide ribosomal RNA is filed under the name uncultured bacterium. RNAcentral describes it as "partial 16S ribosomal RNA". It matches the Rfam family "Bacterial small subunit ribosomal RNA", at positions 524 to 776 of the family's 1533-position model. The record is from RNAcentral.
UACGAAGGGGGCUAGCGUUGUUCGGAAUUACUGGGCGUAAAGCGCACGUAGGCGGGUAUUUAAGUCAGGGGUGAAAUCCCAGAGCUCAACUCUGGAACUGCCUUUGAUACUGGGUACCUAGAGUAUGGAAGAGGUGAGUGGAAUUCCGAGUGUAGAGGUGAAAUUCGUAGAUAUUCGGAGGAACACCAGUGGCGAAGGCGGCUCACUGGUCCAUUACUGACGCUGAGGUGCGAAAGCGUGGGGGAGCAAACAGG